This 300-nucleotide ribosomal RNA is filed under the name uncultured Aeromonadaceae bacterium. Its description in RNAcentral is "bacterial SSU rRNA". It matches the Rfam family "Bacterial small subunit ribosomal RNA", at positions 115 to 421 of the family's 1533-position model. The record is from RNAcentral. Lineage: Bacteria; Pseudomonadati; Pseudomonadota; Gammaproteobacteria; Aeromonadales; Aeromonadaceae.
GCCUAGGUAUCUGCCCAGUCGAGGGGGAUAACAGUUGGAAACGACUGCUAAUACCGCAUACGCCCUACGGGGAAGGAGGGACCUUCGGGCCUUCCGCGAUUGGAUGAACCUAGGUGGGAUUAGCUAGUUGGUGAGGUAAUGGCUCACCAAGGCGACGAUCCCUAGCUGGUCUGAGAGGAUGAUCAGCCACACUGGAACUGAGACACGGUCCAGACUCCUACGGGAGGCAGCAGUGGGGAAUAUUGCACAAUGGGGGAAACCCUGAUGCAGCCAUGCCGCGUGUGUGAAGAAGGCUCUAGG